CCAGCACAUGACGAAGUGAGCGGGCUCUUUGCAGCCCUGGAAAGUCCCCGGGCCCUCGAUCGCAGAGAUGCGACCGCGGAGACGCGGAAAGUCUCAGCGCUCGCGCCCUCCUCUUCACGAGGGGGCAGAGACAAGUGUGUGGAGCCCUUUGGGCGCGAGUCGAGAUCAAAAUGGCCAAUAACACAGUUAUUCACUUGAAUCCAUCAUUGGAUUAACAGAACGGGGCUUACGAUCGUGUGCAA
RNAcentral lists this RNase MRP RNA (242 nucleotides) under Leersia perrieri. RNAcentral's name for it is "SRP RNA RNase_MRP". It matches the Rfam family "RNase MRP". Rfam says of the family: RNase MRP is an enzymatically active ribonucleoprotein with two distinct roles in eukaryotes. The record is from Rfam by way of RNAcentral. Lineage: Eukaryota; Viridiplantae; Streptophyta; Magnoliopsida; Poales; Poaceae.